Cataglyphis hispanica is the source of this 1141-nucleotide long non-coding RNA. RefSeq lists it as uncharacterized. The transcript is spliced from 3 exons. The record is from RefSeq and is a predicted model, not a curated record. NCBI's taxonomy places the organism in Eukaryota, Metazoa, Arthropoda, Insecta, Hymenoptera, Formicidae.
GUCAGUGAAAGCGAAUUUGCGUUUUUCAUUUUCCGGCAAGUGUUUUAUUUUUUCCCCACUUAUUUCGUCGGAAUACCGUUUCAACCGUUCAACUUUUAUAUUCGUGCGUACAUACACGUCAAUUAUGACAGCCGGUAUGCGACGAGUUAUGAGACGUAGAGGUCCCUCUAGGUGAUACGAGAGGACGGAGAAACAGUUUCAUCAGACGACUGGUCAUCGGACAUCGGACGGCGCGGUAGCGCGAACUCAGCAACUGAUAAGCAAUGCCCGCUCGUUAAUGGUCCGGCAUCACGGCUUGGCAAAAAGCCAAUGCAUGCUUGUUAGAAUAAGAAUCUCGCAGUCGCGUCUAUUCCAUCUACCGCAUUCUAACGCGUUUACGUGUUUGCGCGUUAAAAUGUAUAUAUGAUAUACAUUUGAAGUCUGCAAGUUGCAAGUGCAAAGUCAAAUAUGACGCCGAGUGUAUAAGCGCGACAAUCUGAAUCAUCUCAGCGUUCAUCUCAUGGCCAUUUAUGUUUCAUUCUCGAAAAAAUAUCUUCUAUCAUAUUUUUAAUCAAAGUACAUCUCGUUUAAUGCGCACAAUACGGCGACGAAAUAAAAUAUACAAUAUUUUAUACGUCUAUUACCAGGUAACUUCUCCUAUGUUUAAAAUUUUAAGAAUAUAAGUCUCGUUGAUUUCUUGACGAGAUUAAUAUAAAUUCUUUUUUUUUCCAAUAAGAAAAAAUAUAAUAUGAGAUAUCUCUUUUAAAUCAACAAUUUUUAUCGAUAACGAUAAUAUUUUUUCAAUAAUUAAUAAUUUUUAAUAAUUAUUAUUACUAAAUACAAUGUUUCUAUAACAGCAAGGUAGAGAGAAUUUAACAAUUUUCGAUACAUUUGAACAGCGUAACGCAAACCGAAAAAUGCAUAGCCGCUUAAAGCGUGUAUAUGUAUAUAUAUAUAGCAGCGAAGUGUGACGGGCAGAUGCGUUAUUUAUGUAGCGGUUCGCUAAGUACGUUUCGUUGUGCAAUACCUUCGAUUCUGACGAUCGGGGGUUACGGAUCGCCGACGAGGGUUGGUGUAUCCUCUGUAUUCUCUCUUUUUACAAGAAAGAGUCGGCGCGCAGAGAAACGCGCGGGGUGGAGACCCGAAUCCUGAGGCAGUGGAC